Molecule: ribosomal RNA, 301 nt
Filed under: uncultured bacterium
Lineage: Bacteria
Description: partial 16S ribosomal RNA
Rfam family: Bacterial small subunit ribosomal RNA
Source: RNAcentral
CAGCCGCCACGGGAAUACAGAGGGUGCGAGCGUUAAUCGGAUUUACUGGGCGUAAAGCGUGCGUAGGCGGCUUCUUAAGUCGGAUGUGAAAUCCCUGAGCUUAACUUAGGAAUUGCAUUCGAUACUGGGAAGCUAGAGUAUGGGAGAGGAUGGUAGAAUUCCAGGUGUAGCGGUGAAAUGCGUAGAGAUCUGGAGGAAUACCGAUGGCGAAGGCAGCCAUCUGGCCUAAUACUGACGCUGAGGUACGAAAGCAUGGGGAGCAAACAGGAUUAGAUACCCCCGUAGUCCCUGUCUCUUAUAC